AAUAGAUACCCGUGGUAGUCCACGCCGUAAACGAUGAGUGCUAAGUGUUAGAGGGUUUCCGCCCUUUAGUGCUGCAGCUAACGCAUUAAGCACUCCGCCUGGGGAGUACGGCCGCAAGGCUGAAACUCAAAGGAAUUGACGGGGGCCCGCACAAGCGGUGGAGCAUGUGGUUUAAUUCGAAGCAACGCGAAGAACCUUACCAGGUCUUGACAUCCUCUGCCAACCCUAGAGAUAGGGCGUUCCCCUUCGGGGGACAGAGUGACAGGUGGUGCAUGGUUGUCGUCAGCUCGUGUCGUGAGAUGUUGGGUUAAGUCCCGCAACGAGCGCAACCCUUGAUCUUAGUUGCCAGCAUUCAGUUGGGCACUCUAAGGUGACUGCCGGUGACAAACCGGAGGAAGGUGGGGAUGACGUCAAAUCAUCAUGCCCCUUAUGACCUGGGCUACACACGUGCUACAAUGGAUGGUACAAAGAGUAGCGAACCCGCGAGGGUAAGCCAAUCUCAUAAAGCCAUUCUCAGUUCGGA
RNAcentral lists this ribosomal RNA (523 nucleotides) under uncultured bacterium. RNAcentral describes it as "bacterial SSU rRNA". It matches the Rfam family "Bacterial small subunit ribosomal RNA", at positions 777 to 1297 of the family's 1533-position model. The record is from RNAcentral.